AAGUCGUAACAAGGUUUCCGUAGGUGAACCUGCGGAAGGAUCAUUCAUAAUGAGUGUUUAAUGGCACUCUAAAUCCAUUACCCACCUUGUGUGCAAUGUCGAGGGGGAGAAAGGAGGAACAGCAACUUAUGAGUUGUUGAAAGAACUUUAUCCCUUUUCAUAUACAUACCAAAACUUUCAAAUAUCAGUCUAACAUCUAUUUAGAGUAUAAAAAACUCGAAAAUACAACUUUCAACAACGGAUCUCUUGGCUCUC
This 255-nucleotide unclassified non-coding RNA is filed under the name fungal sp. Its description in RNAcentral is "partial internal transcribed spacer region". The stretch from base 1 to 46 matches the Rfam family "Eukaryotic small subunit ribosomal RNA", at positions 1786 to 1831 of the family's 1831-position model. Lineage: Eukaryota; Fungi. The record is from RNAcentral.